GAUGCAUCUAGAUUAGAGUUUGAUCCUGGCUCAGAUUGAACGCUGGCGGCAUACCUUAAAGGAAAGUCGAACGGCAGCACGGGGGCAACCCUGGUGGCGAGAGGCGAACGGGUGAGUAAUGCAUCGGAACGUGCCCAGUAGUGGGGGAUAACCAGUCGAAAGAUUGGCUAAUACCGCAUACGACCUAUGGGUGAAAGCGGGGGACCGCAAGGCCUCGCGCUAUUGGAGCGGCCGAUGUCUGAUUAGCUAGUUGGUGAGGUAAAGGCUCACCAAGGCGACGAUCAGUAGCUGGUCUGAGAGGACGACCAGCCACACUGGGACUGAGACACGGCCCAGACUCCUACGGGAGGCAGCAGUGGGGAAUUUUGGACAAUGGGCGAAAGCCUGAUCCAGCCAUGCCGCGUGCGGGAAGAAGUCCUUCGGGUUGUAAACCGCUUUUGGCAGGAACGAAACGGCGCUGACUAAUACUCGGCGCUAAUGACGGUACCUGCAGAAUAAGCACCGGCUAACUACGUGCCAGCAGCCGCGGUAAUACGUAGGGUGCAAGCGUUAAUCGGAAUUACUGGGCGUAAAGCGUACGCAGGCGGCCAUGCAAGACAGGUGUGAAAUCCCCGGGCUUAACCUGGGAACUGCAUUUGCGACUGCAUGGCUAGAGUUUGUCAGAGGGGGGUGGAAUUCCACGUGUAGCAGUGAAAUGCGUAGAGGUGUGGAGGAACACCGAUGGCGAAGGCAGCCCCCUGGGACCUGACUGACGCUCAUGUACGAAAGCGUGGGGAGCAAACAGGAUUAGAUACCCUGGUAGUCCACGCCCUAAACGAUGUCGACUAGUUGUCGGGGAUUCACUUCUUCGGUAACGCAGCUAACGCGUGAAGUCGACCGCCUGGGGAGUACGGUCGCAAGAUUAAAACUCAAAGGAAUUGACGGGGACCCGCACAAGCGGUGGAUGAUGUGGAUUAAUUCGAUGCAACGCGAAAAACCUUACCUACCCUUGACAUGCCAGGAACCUCGCAGAGAUGUGAGGGUGCUCGAAAGAGAGCCUGGACACAGGUGCUGCAUGGCUGUCGUCAGCUCGUGUCGUGAGAUGUUGGGUUAAGUCCCGCAACGAGCGCAACCCUUGUCACUAGUUGCUACGAAAGGGCACUCUAGUGAGACUGCCGGUGACAAACCGGAGGAAGGUGGGGAUGACGUCAAGUCCUCAUGGCCCUUAUGGGUAGGGCUUCACACGUCAUACAAUGGCUGGUACAGAGGGUUGCCAACCCGCGAGGGGGAGCUAAUCCCACAAAACCAGUCGUAGUCCGGAUUGCAGUCUGCAACUCGACUGCAUGAAGUCGGAAUCGCUAGUAAUCGCGGAUCAGCAUGUCGCGGUGAAUACGUUCCCGGGUCUUGUACACGCCGCCCGUCACACCAUGGGAGUGGGUUUCACCAGAAGCCGUUUGCCUAACCGCAAGGAGGGCGGCGACCACGGUGAGAUUCAUGACUGGGGUGAAGUCGUAACAAGGUAGCCGUAUCGGAAGGUGCGGCUGGAUCACCUCCUUAAUCGGAUCCCGGGCCCGUCGACUGCAGAGGCCUGCAUGCAAGCUUCCCUAUAGUGAGUCGUAU
RNAcentral lists this ribosomal RNA (1599 nucleotides) under uncultured bacterium. RNAcentral describes it as "partial 16S ribosomal RNA". It matches the Rfam family "Bacterial small subunit ribosomal RNA". The record is from RNAcentral.